Molecule: RNA transcript, 2157 nt
Organism: Papaver somniferum (opium poppy)
Lineage: Eukaryota; Viridiplantae; Streptophyta; Magnoliopsida; Ranunculales; Papaveraceae
Gene name: F-box/kelch-repeat protein At3g06240-like
Exons: 3
Source: RefSeq, a predicted model, not a curated record
CCUGCUUACAAAGAUCCAGACGAGAAGAAUCAUCAAUGUCUUCGUUGUUAAAUCUCCCGGAAGAGGUUCACGACGAGAUCUUUCUAAAGUUACCAGGGGAAUCCAUCUUAUCAUCUAGGUGUGUAUGUAAGUUUCUUUAUACUCUUCUUUCUAAACCUAGUUUCAUCAAAAAUCAUGUCAAUCGCACUAAUCAAAGCAAGGAAAACCCUAAACUCUGGUUUAAUCAUUUCCCACCACUUAAUCCCCCUAUAAUUUACUCUGUACCUAUAGAUUAUGCUUCAAUUUCAUCAUCGUCACCACAUGAUGGAGCUGUUCUGAUAAAUUACCCAUCUGAAUGUGAGAAUUUAUAUUUUCUUAAUUAUUUGGGUUCCUGUGAUGGCUUAAUUUGCUCAAGAAUUUUUCGUGCUGCUCGGGAAAGGAAUUGUUUUAUGGCGACUAAUGAUAUUGUUAUUAUGAACCCAUUAACAAGAGAAUAUAAGGAAUUUACAAUGCCCAUAGAGGGUUAUACCCAUGCCUAUGGAUUUGGUUAUGACAGCAACAUUGAUGACUACAAACUAGUCAUAAUAUCGGGUUCGGAAGGUUGCUUGAAAACUCAUGUUUAUAGAGUCAAGUCAGACUCAUGGAGUAGUAUUCAGGGCCCUGUCAAUUACUCGUUUCAUGGUGGUAUUAAAGCUGAGGGUGUGUUUUUCAAUGGAGCUCUUCAUUGGUUGGGAACUAGAACCACCGAAGAAGCCUGGUCCCAAGUUAUAGUCUCUUUUGAUGUUAGCAGUGAGACAAUGGUGGAUAUGCCAUUACCUGAAAAUAUUGUGUCGCCUACAGAUUAUUGGGGAGAAAUAUAUAGAAAUAUUGGAGUGUUAGGAGACAGCAUUUGUGUAGCUUUUAUUUGGGAUUCAGUUAGGAUUGAUGUGUGGGUUAUGCAGAAAUAUGGAGUAAAAGAAUCUUGGACAAAAAGAUUUACCACGCCUAAACUACCAUGUCCCUCGCAGGGAUUACUAUUUUGGAAGCCGCUAUGGUGUUUUGACAAUGGGGAAAUUCUAAUAGAUGAUGAUAGCGAGCAAUUACAUUUGUAUGAUCCAACAGCUGAAAGAGUUAGAUCAGUGGCGGUCUGUAGUAUUAUAAUGGGAAAUUGUCGAGUAAGUUACGUGGAGAGCAUAAGCUCACUUAACUCUGGCAAGUAUAUGGAGAAACAGAUUGAAGAUGGGAUCCUGAAAAAUAUGAGCGACAGCAGUUAAGUUGGUGGGUAACUUAGACUUGUGUGGGUAACUUAGCUUGCUUUGAGAACUGAUGUGAAGGAUGAAUUCUUACGCCUGGAUACAAGCUGUGCCUCAGUUAUAUGCUGCUGUGUUUCUGCUAAACAGAAAGCCUUGGUCGACAAAGAGCAUCUAUUUUAGCUGGAAAAGGAUCAUCGGAUGGAUACUGAACGGAGUAAACAUUUGCUUUCUCUCCCCUUCCGCUUUCCAAGAGAAGGGAAAAGUUGCGGAUAUUGCUCAUAUUGUAGCCAUUACAUUUACUUGCAUAAUUUGGACGGUCAAUUGUCAGAUUGCUCUCAUCAUUUCUCACUUCACGUGGAUCCAACAUCUUUUUAUCUGGGGCAGCAUACUAUUCUGGUACAUUUUCUUGUACGUUUUUGGUUUACUUCCUCCAGUAUAUUCAGAAGGAGGAUUUCAUAUAUUUACAGAAGCUCUGGGUACUGCACCCACAUAUUGGUUGGUCACAUUGAUCAUUGUUACUGUUGCACUUCUCCCUUACUUUCUCCACAUGGUGAUUCAACGGUUAUUUUAUCCGACGGAUGAUCAUAUUUUACAAGAAAUGAAGCAUGAAGAGAAAGAUGUUACAGAAAGCGUAAUGUGGUUACGAGAACAGGCCAACUCCACACAGGAUACUCACAUCGGGUUCACAGCUAGGGUGAAUGCGAAGAUUCGUUUUCUGAAAAGACAAUUGCAACAGCAUAAGAAGAUUGUUGAAACAUAAACUCAUCAAAAAAAAAAAAGUGUAUACCAAUGAGAAGUGAACCCGGUCGCUCGAGGUAUGUAGUUAUUAAUUUUCUUUAGGCUCUUGUUUAUGUUUGAGGUUGAAUCUAUACAAAGUAAAAAAUGUUCUAUUGUUAUGAAAUUGUAAAUUUCUGGAUUUUUUUUUCUACAUUGUGCAAUUGUUGCA